RNAcentral lists this small nucleolar RNA (105 nucleotides) under Gossypium hirsutum (cotton). RNAcentral describes it as "Plant small nucleolar RNA R71". It matches the Rfam family "Plant small nucleolar RNA R71". Rfam says of the family: R71 is a member of the C/D box family of snoRNAs containing the C (UGAUGA) and D (CUGA) box motifs. Multiple nearly identical copies of this snoRNA have been identified in Arabidopsis, and it is thought to function as a 2'-O-ribose methylation guide for 18S ribosomal RNA. The record is from Rfam by way of RNAcentral. Lineage: Eukaryota; Viridiplantae; Streptophyta; Magnoliopsida; Malvales; Malvaceae.
AAUCUGUGGUGCGGGCAAUUUUGAACAAACAUUUUGAAAAGUUCCCACGCCUUAUAGAAACUUUCUCCCCCCAUCUGUCUAAACACAACAAUCUCUCUUCUUAUU